RNA transcript from Rhododendron vialii, 1543 nucleotides. RefSeq lists it as uncharacterized. The transcript is spliced from 4 exons. NCBI's taxonomy places the organism in Eukaryota, Viridiplantae, Streptophyta, Magnoliopsida, Ericales, Ericaceae. The record is from RefSeq and is a predicted model, not a curated record.
ACUUCCAUUCCAACAUUAUAUUCAUACACCUACUUGCAUUCCAACAUGGAAAGGCCCUUACAGAAAAUUGUUACGGAAGAAAGACGAGCUAGUUACGAAACUUGAAUGCACUAAAGUGACCAUGCAAAAGAAUAAUGGGGGAGAGUCGAUAACCAAUGAAGAACGAACUUUGAUCUGUUCUGAAGCCGAGACCAAAAUAUUACUCAGGGAAUCCGAGGAGAUUAUUGAGGUCUUGAAUGACAACAUGAGGAACAACAAUGAGCCCGGGACGACGGCUUCAUUGUCGGACGAGCUGCGUGCGUUGAUUGAGCUUCUUUACAGUGGUUCUUUGUUCCAAGUAUUGGACGAGGAAGAAGUAGUGGAAUCUGAUAAGCUCAUUGCCAAGGAAAGAGGUAAGGUCAACAGGGAUGAGCAUGAUUUGGCUAGGAUCAUGGAGGUGGUUCAGGAUGUUGUGCCCCAUGUUGCAUCUAAUUUUUGGCUAGCCAUUUAGAGUUAUUUAAUUCUUGUUAUGCAUCUCUGAUGAAGAAAUCAGAGGAUGAAGAGAUUAGAGAACUAAUCCACAUGUUGGUGACAUCGAACCCCUUUUGUACAAGGGAAGCAUUUCAUCGGGGAGAUAAGAGUAAGAAUCAAUGGCUAGGGGGUACCCUUCAUGAAUGGAUUGAAGAUUAUAAAGAGGACGUUGUGAAGACAUUAUCAUUCAAAGCUGGUGAAUCAAAGUUUAAAAAAUCAAGAUUGACAAAUGUCGGAAGACAUAUCAUCAGGUAACUGUUUAUGUUUUCUUGCAACUCUUUAAAAUUUUCCUAAUAUUUAUACUAUUUCCAUGUCUUUUAAAAAUACUAACAAAUAUUGCAUUACAUAUAGGGGUAUAACGAGCUUCAGCGCUUUCAUCUUAAUGGAAUAGCUUUUCGUGAUUUAAAAAGUGAAAAUAUCAUAUUGGACGAGAAGUUAAACGUUGUAACUUUUGAGAGCAUUUAGUGUGGGAGUGGGGAAGCUAAUUUCAAAAUAAAUUGUGUAGCUCUAAAUGCCAUAUUUAGUGAACUCCUUAGAAGCAAUCUAAUUCGCGAUGAUGUUGCUCAUCUAAUGACUUUAUUUGCAAUUAUAACAGGAAAAAUGAGGAUAUUAUUUUUCAUCACUCUUGCCUAUGGACACCGAUGCUGACACUCGAAGCAUUUGGUAUGCUGCAAAUAAUGUACCUGAAGAGUCUAAAGAUUGACAUUUUCACAUAUGCAAGCAUCCAGUGUACAAGAGAGCGCUUAACGCUUGGGUAGAGGAAAUGCGUGAAAAAUCGAGUGCCAAAGAGGAGGAAGGAGAAUCACAAAAACAUCCUAAUUUGUCUUACGUCGAUUCUAAGGAUGUGAAGCUCUUAGGUGGUGCUACAUUGCUCUCAUUUAUGAUAAUGUGCUUCAUCCACAUGUUUCAACAUGCCCGUGCGGAGGAAGAGGCCUGUGCGAAGGCAAGGUCGUUGCGAGCAGUUGAAAAGAAAACGGUGAAGUCAUUUCGAAACAAUAAGCCAUCAAAAAUCAGGACAUGGCAACAAAUAGAG